Molecule: ribosomal RNA, 253 nt
Filed under: uncultured bacterium
Lineage: Bacteria
Description: partial 16S ribosomal RNA
Rfam family: Bacterial small subunit ribosomal RNA
Source: RNAcentral
UACGGAGGAUCCGAGCGUUAUCCGGAUUUAUUGGGUUUAAAGGGUGCGUAGGCGGGCUUUUAAGUCUGAUGUGAAAGCCUUCGGCUUAACCGGAGUAGUGCAUUGGAAACUGGGAGACUUGAGUGCAGAAGAGGAGAGUGGAACUCCAUGUGUAGCGGUGAAAUGCGUAGAUAUAUGGAAGAACACCAGUGGCGAAAGCGGCUCUCUGGUCUGUAACUGACGCUGAGGUUCGAAAGCGUGGGUAGCAAACAGG